AAUGAACGUUGGCGGCGUGGAUCAGGCAUGCAAGUCGAACGAAUCCCGUGGGGGCAACUCUGCGGGGGAAGUGGCGAAAGGGGCAGUAAGGCGUGGGUAACCUACCCCGGACUCUGGGAUAGCCUUUCUAACGAAAGGGUAAUACCGGAUGUCGUAGCGUGGUGGCAUCAUCGUGCUACGAAAGUUUCGACGGUCCGGGAGGGGCUCACGUGGUAUUAGCUAGUUGGUGAGGUAACGGCUCACCAAGGCCAAGAUGCCUAGCAGGUGUGAGAGCACGACCUGCGUCACUGGCACUGGGACACUGGCCAGACUCCUACGGGAGGCUGCAGUCGAGAAUCUUCGGCAAUGGGCGAAAGCCUGACCGAGCGACGCCGCGUGUGCGAUGAAGGCCUUCGGGUUGUAAAGCACUGUCGUGGGGGAGAAAAGGGCAACCUUGAUCGACCCCAGGAGGAAGCUCGGGCUAAGUUCGUGCCAGCAGCCGCCGUAAUAC
This 490-nucleotide ribosomal RNA is filed under the name uncultured bacterium. RNAcentral's name for it is "bacterial SSU rRNA". It matches the Rfam family "Bacterial small subunit ribosomal RNA", at positions 28 to 526 of the family's 1533-position model. The record is from RNAcentral.